UAAUACCCGAGGCUCAAGUGAUGGCCACUAUUAUUGGGUUUAAAGCGUCCGUAGCCGGUUCAGUAAGUUCUUGGUGAAAUCCUCCAGCAAACUGGAGGGCGUGCUGAGAAUACUACUGGACUUGAGACCGGGAGAGGCAAGAGGUACUUAUGGGGUAGGGGUUAAAUCCUGUAAUCCCAUAGGGACCACCAGUCAGCAGUGAGUCAACUUUAAGUAGUAGGAGUGGCUCCUGCUGGGUGAAUGGCGAAGGCUUCUUGCUGGAACGGGUCUGACGGUGAGGGACGAAAGCGUGGGUAGCGAUCGGGAUUAGAUACCCCGGUAGUCCACGCCGUAAACGAUGCCCGCUUGGUGCCACAGACUUCUUGGGAGUUUGUGGUGCCGGAGCGUAAGUGUUAAGCGGGCCACCUGGGAAGUACGUCCGCAAGGAUGAAACUUAAAGGAAUUGGCGGGGGAGCACACAAGGGGUGGGCACUGCGG
RNAcentral lists this ribosomal RNA (477 nucleotides) under uncultured archaeon. Its description in RNAcentral is "bacterial SSU rRNA". It matches the Rfam family "Archaeal small subunit ribosomal RNA", at positions 471 to 900 of the family's 1478-position model. The record is from RNAcentral.